RNAcentral lists this ribosomal RNA (342 nucleotides) under uncultured Aminicenantes bacterium. RNAcentral describes it as "bacterial SSU rRNA". It matches the Rfam family "Bacterial small subunit ribosomal RNA", at positions 1039 to 1382 of the family's 1533-position model. The record is from RNAcentral. Lineage: Bacteria; Candidatus Aminicenantota.
UGCUGCAUGGCUGUCGUCAGCUCGUGUCGUGAGAUGUUGGGUUAAGUCCCGCAACGAGCGCAACCCUUACCCUUAGUUGCCAGCGGGUAAUGCCGGGCACUCUAAGGGGACCGCCCGGAUAACGGGGAGGAAGGCGGGAUGACGUCAAGUCAGCAUGGCCCUUAUGUCCAGGGCUACACACGUGCUACAAUGGGCGAUACAGAGGGAAGCAAGGCCGCAAGGUAGAGCUAAUCCCUAAAGUCGUCCUCAGUUCGGAUUGCAGGCUGCAACUCGCCUGCAUGAAGUCGGAAUCGCUAGUAAUCGCGGAUCAGCUACGCCGCGGUGAAUACGUUCCCGGGCCUU